AAGGUGAGCUCAGGAAGAUAGAAACUUCCUCUUGGAGCUGAAGGGCAAAAGCUGGCUUGAUCUUGAUUUUUAGUAUGAAAACAGAUAGUUAAAACAC
RNAcentral lists this non-coding RNA (97 nucleotides) under Lepisosteus oculatus (spotted gar). Its description in RNAcentral is "Eukaryotic large subunit ribosomal RNA". It matches the Rfam family "Eukaryotic large subunit ribosomal RNA", at positions 2665 to 2761 of the family's 3401-position model. Lineage: Eukaryota; Metazoa; Chordata; Actinopteri; Semionotiformes; Lepisosteidae. The record is from Rfam by way of RNAcentral.